AGAGUUGUCGUGCCGGCUGGUCCCCCACUCAACUACGACGCAUUUCAUUAUUGAUAUCUCAGAAUCUCACAUUCGCGCGUUUUUUAUUUAUUUCAUUUCGUUAUCGACUACUAUUGCAUCGUUGCGUCGCGUAUUUUAAAGCGUUUAAAUAAAAGAUCAAAUUUUAAGUUUAUAUGUAAUGACUUCAGUACUAAUAAAGAGAGAUGACCUCGUAAUAGUUGGUAAACACGUUUAUUUAAUAAUCUUACAAGGGAAAAAUGGAAACAGGCUACGUAACUUAAACUAUCUGACACAGUAUUCAAUUCGACACAUUUGAAGCAAUAAAUUGUCAUUGACAUCAUAAUAAAAUGGGAAUGAAUGAUGAUAUUACCUCAAACAUACUGAAACCUUGUAGCAGAGUAUUCAAUUUACACAUAUGAAGCAAUUGCCAUGAAUCAGAAUAGAAUGGAUACCAAGAAAGAAUACUUCAAAUUUUAUAUGUUAAUAUUAUUAAAUUGAAAAAUUAAAAAUGCCUAUAGCUUAUCAAUAUUAUGACUGAAACCUUGUAGCAGAGUAUUCAAUUUACACAUAUGAAGCAAUUGCCAUGAAUCAGAAUAGAAUGGAUACCAAGAAGAUAUUACUUCAAAUUUUAUAUGUUAAUAUUAUUAAAUUGAAAAAUUAAAAAUGCCUAUAGCUUAUCAAUAUUAUGACUGAAACCUUGUAGCAGAGUAUUCAAUUUACACAUAUGAAGCAAUUGCCAUGAAUCAGAAUAGAAUGGAUACCAAGAAGAUAUUACUUCAAAUUUUAUAUGUUAAGAUUAUUAAAUUGAAAAAUUAAAAAUGCCUAUAGCUUAUCAAUAUUAUGACUGAAACCUUGUAGCAGAGUAUUCAAUUACAAUAUGAAGCAAUUGCCA
Long non-coding RNA from Aphis gossypii (cotton aphid), 892 nucleotides. RefSeq lists it as uncharacterized. The transcript is spliced from 6 exons. NCBI's taxonomy places the organism in Eukaryota, Metazoa, Arthropoda, Insecta, Hemiptera, Aphididae. The record is from RefSeq and is a predicted model, not a curated record.